CAACAGCUAGAGUUUGAUCCUGGCUCAGGAUGAACGCUGGCGGCGUGCAUAACACAUUCAAGUCGAACGGUGAGGGGAGCUUCGGUUCCCUGAACAGUGGCGGACGGGUGAGUAACGCGUGAGCAACCUGCCUCUGUGUGGGGAAUAACGUUUGGAAACGAACGCUAAUACCGCAUAACGCAUGAGGGUCGCAUGAUCCAUAUGCCAAAGAUUAAUUGCACAGAGAUGGGCUCGCGUCCGAUUAGAUAGUUGGUGGGGUAAAGGCCUACCAAGUCGACGAUCGGUAGCCGGACUGAGAGGUCGAACGGCCACAUUGGAACUGAGAAACGGUCCAGACUCCUACGGGAGGCAGCAGUGGGGAAUAUUGGGCAAUGGGCGAAAGCCUGACCCAGCGACGCCGCGUGAAGGAAGACGGUCUUCGGAUUGUAAACUUUAGUACUCAUGGACGAAGAGAUGACGGUACAUGAGGUUAAGCCACGGCUAACUACGUGCC
This 493-nucleotide ribosomal RNA is filed under the name uncultured organism. RNAcentral's name for it is "SSU rRNA". It matches the Rfam family "Bacterial small subunit ribosomal RNA", at positions 1 to 509 of the family's 1533-position model. The record is from RNAcentral.